UAAUAAGUGUUUUAUGGCACUUUUUAAAUCCAUAUCCACCUUGUGUGCAAUGUCAGUCGAUCUUCUUCAAUGGAGGAUCGACCAAACAUCAACCUUUAUCUUUUAACUCUUUGUCUGAAAAAUAUUAUGAAUAAAGCAAUUCAAAAUA
Molecule: unclassified non-coding RNA, 148 nt
Filed under: soil metagenome
Description: partial internal transcribed spacer 1
Source: RNAcentral